UUAGAUUAGACCACAGGCACCACCGCUAGAUUAGACCACAGGCACCACCGCUAGAUUAGACAACAGGCACCACCGCUAGAUUAGACCACAGGCACCACCGCUAGAUUAGACCACAGGCACCACCGCUAGAUUAGACCACAGGCACCACCGCUAGAUUAGACAACACCGCUAGAUUAGACCACAGAUACCACCGCUAGAUUAGACCACAGGCACCACCGCUAGAUUAGACCACAGGCAACACCGCUAGAUUAGACCACAGACAACACCGCUAGAUUAGACAACACCGCUAGAUUAGACAACACCGCUAGAUUAGACCACAGGCACCACCACUAGAUUAGACCACAGACACCACCGCUAGAUUAGACCACAGGCACCACCACUAGAUUAGACCACAGACACCACCGCUAGAUUAGACAACAGGCACCACCGCUAGAUUAGACCACAGGCACCACCGCUAGAUUAGACAACACCGCUAGAUUAGACAGGCACACCGCUAGAUUAGACACCACCGCUAGAUUAGACAACACCGCUAGAUUAGACAACACCGCUAGAUUAGACCACAGACACCGCUAGAUUAGACAGGCAACACCGCUAGAUUAGGCACACAG
Long non-coding RNA from Oncorhynchus tshawytscha (Chinook salmon), 608 nucleotides. Lineage: Eukaryota; Metazoa; Chordata; Actinopteri; Salmoniformes; Salmonidae. The record is from Ensembl.